GACGAACGCUGGCGGCGUGCUUAACACAUGCAAGUCGAACGGAAAGGCCCUGCUUUUGUGGGGUGCUCGAGUGGCGAACGGGUGAGUAACACGUGAGUAACCUGCCCUUGACUUUGGGAUAACUUCAGGAAACUUGGGCUAAUACCGGAUAGGAGCUCCUGCUGCAUGGUGGGGGUUGGAAAGUUUCGGCGGUUGGGGAUGGACUCGCGGCUUAUCAGCUUGUUGGUGGGGUAGUGGCUUACCAAGGCUUUGACGGGUAGCCGGCCUGAGAGGGUGACCGGCCACAUUGGGACUGAGAUACGGCCCAGACUCCUACGGGAGGCAGCAGUGGGGAAUAUUGCACAAUGGGCGGAAGCGUGAUGCAGCAACGCCGCGUGCGGGAUGACGGCCUUCGGGUUGUAAACCGCUUUCGCCUGUGACGAAGCGUGAGUGACGGUAAUGGGUAAAGAAGCACCGGCUAACUACGUG
This 468-nucleotide ribosomal RNA is filed under the name uncultured bacterium. Its description in RNAcentral is "partial 16S ribosomal RNA". It matches the Rfam family "Bacterial small subunit ribosomal RNA", at positions 28 to 507 of the family's 1533-position model. The record is from RNAcentral.